UCAAAACAUUAAACAAAUUUUUCUCGGCCUAGAAGCAACAACGAUAAAUUUCACCAGAAAUAUCUAUUUUCAUGGCAGUUUCGUAUCAUAAGAUGCGAAAUAUACAUUGUUUCGUUGUUUUCGCUAUGAAGGUUAUAAACGAGAUUUGCAGCGGAUUGUCUUCGAAGGCGGGUUUUUCAAUUUAGUUACAAGUACUCCACUUCAGUAAUCGACACCCAGCCUAAUCUUCCGAAAAACUGAUUUCCAGGACCACCAUGAACGGAUGUUUGCAAAGUACCACAUCGGUAUGCCGUGCAAAGAGAGCGGUAAAGUUUCUUUGUAACGGUGGAAAGUUGGAAAACAUGGAUGUAUUGGGCAUACCUUUCACAAGCCAUUCCAUGAAUUUCAACAUCACGAGUGAACCAUACAGGGCAUUUUCCAAUUUCCUUUAAGUACCAUAAAGUAGAGCGUUAUGAAUUCAUGAG
Molecule: long non-coding RNA, 464 nt
Organism: Uranotaenia lowii
Lineage: Eukaryota; Metazoa; Arthropoda; Insecta; Diptera; Culicidae
Exons: 3
Source: RefSeq, a predicted model, not a curated record